This 31-nucleotide non-coding RNA is filed under the name Homo sapiens (human). The record is from RNAcentral. Lineage: Eukaryota; Metazoa; Chordata; Mammalia; Primates; Hominidae.
UGGCAAUGUUAGGGUGCCCUCUGAUUUUUGC